This 140-nucleotide unclassified non-coding RNA is filed under the name plant metagenome. RNAcentral's name for it is "partial contains small subunit ribosomal RNA and internal transcribed spacer 1". The stretch from base 1 to 46 matches the Rfam family "Eukaryotic small subunit ribosomal RNA", at positions 1786 to 1831 of the family's 1831-position model. The record is from RNAcentral.
AAGUCGUAACAAGGUUUCCGUAGGUGAACCUGCGGAAGGAUCAUUAUUGAGCCGGGAGGCAUAAAAUCCAUACCUCUGUGAGCCGUGCCCUCGGGCUUACAACAAACCAGUGUGAUGAACGUAAUACAAUAUAAACAAAA